Molecule: transfer RNA, 72 nt
Filed under: Camelus bactrianus (Bactrian camel)
Lineage: Eukaryota; Metazoa; Chordata; Mammalia; Artiodactyla; Camelidae
Also listed under: 2 other names
Rfam family: tRNA
About the family: Transfer RNA (tRNA) molecules are approximately 80 nucleotides in length. Their secondary structure includes four short double-helical elements and three loops (D, anti-codon, and T loops).
Source: Rfam by way of RNAcentral
GUGGGUAUAGCUCAGUGGUACAGCACAUGCUUAGCAUGCACUAACUCCUGGAUUCAAUCUCCCGUACCUCCA